AACGUACGCUGGCGGCACGCCUAACACAUGCAAGUCGAACGCAGUAGCAAUACUGAGUGGCAGACGGGUGAGUAACAUGUGGGAAUCUGCCUUGUGGUUCAGGACAACAUUGGGAAACCGAUGCUAAUACUGGAUAAGCCCUUACGGGGAAAGUUUUAAUGCCAUAAGAUGAGCCCGCAUUUGAUUAGUUAGUUGGUGAGGUAAUGGCUCACCAAGACUUUGAUUGGUAGGGAACUGAGAGGUCAAUCCCCCACACUGGCACUGAGAUACGGGCCAGACUCCUACGGGAGGCAGCAGUAGGGAAUAUUGGGCAAUGGACGCAAGUCUGACCCAGCCAUGCCGCGUGCAGGAUGAAGGCGUUAUGCGUUGUAAACUGCUUUUAUACAGGAAGAAACGACUCUUGCGAGAGGCAUUGACGGUACUGUAUGAAUAAGCACCGGCUAACUCCGUGCCAGCAGCCGCGGU
Molecule: ribosomal RNA, 465 nt
Filed under: uncultured bacterium
Lineage: Bacteria
Description: bacterial SSU rRNA
Rfam family: Bacterial small subunit ribosomal RNA
Source: RNAcentral